AACGAACGCUGGCGGCAUGCCUAACACAUGCAAGUCGAACGAGACCUUCGGGUCUAGUGGCGCACGGGUGCGUAACGCGUGGGAAUCCGCCCUUGGGUACGGAAUAACAGUUAGAAAUGACUGUUAAUACCGUAUAUUGACUUCGGUCCAAAGAUUUAUCGCCCAAGGAUGAGCCCGCGUAGGAUUAGCUAGUUGGUGAGGUAAAGGCUCACCAAGGCGACGAUCCUUAGCUGGUCUGAGAGGAUGAUCAGCCACACUGGGACUGAGACACGGCCCAGACUCCUACGGGAGGCAGCAGUGGGGAAUAUUGGACAAUGGGCAAAAGCCUGAUCCAGCAAUGCCGCGUGAGUGAUGAAGGCCUUAGGGGUUGUAAAAGCUCUUCUACCCCGGGAAUGAAUAAAUGACAAGUACCCGGGAG
This 418-nucleotide ribosomal RNA is filed under the name Sphingomonas sp. oral taxon F02. Its description in RNAcentral is "bacterial SSU rRNA". It matches the Rfam family "Bacterial small subunit ribosomal RNA", at positions 29 to 485 of the family's 1533-position model. Lineage: Bacteria; Pseudomonadati; Pseudomonadota; Alphaproteobacteria; Sphingomonadales; Sphingomonadaceae. The record is from RNAcentral.